CUAGCUGGAGGGGAGCUGCAUGGUUUCAAACCAACCACCACCGUAAGGCAACGUAAACGUAUCUGGUGGAAUCUCACUCCUACACUCAAUAAGUACACUCCCAAACUCUGUAAGGACACUCCCAAACUCAGUAAGGACAGUCCUACACUCUGUAAGGACACUCCCACACCCAGUAAGGACAGUCCUACACUGUGUAAGGACACUCCCACACUCUGUAAGGACACUCCCACACCCAGUAAGGACAGUCCUACACUGUGUAAGGACACUCCCACACUCUGUAAGGACACUCCCACACUCUGUAAGGACACUCCCAUACUAUGUAAGGACACUCCCAUACUAUGUAAGGACACUCUCACACUAUGUAAGGACACUCUCACACUAUGUAAGGACAGUCCUACACUGUGUAAGGACACUCCCAUACUCUGUAAGGACACUCCCACACUCUGUAAGGACACUCCCAUACUAUGUAAGGACACUCCCACACUCUGUAAGGACACUCCCAUACUAUGUAAGGACACUCUCACACUAUGUAAGGACACUCUCACACUAUGCAAGGACAGUCCUACACUCUGUAAGGACUGUCCUACACUCUGUAAGGACACUCCCAUACUAUGUAAGGACACUCUCACACUAUGUAAGGACACUCUCACACUAUGUAAGGACAGUCCUACACUCUGUAAGGACUGUCCUACACUCUGUAAGGACAGUCCUACACUCUGUAAGUACUGUCCUACACUCUGUAAGGACUGUCCUACACUCUGUAAGGACUGUCCUACACUCUGUAAGGACACUCCCAUACUAUGUAAGGACACUCUCACACUAUGUAAGGACACUCUCACACUAUGUAAGGACACUCUCACACUAUGUAAGGACAGUCCUACACUCUGUAAGGACUGUCCUACACUCUGUAAGGACUGUCCUACACUCUGUAAGGACAGUCCUACACUCUGUAAGGACACUCCCACACAUGGUUUAAAACCCUGCUGCUCCCCUCCAGUCAGUUAG
RNAcentral lists this long non-coding RNA (1005 nucleotides) under Sparus aurata (gilthead seabream). Its description in RNAcentral is "lncRNA (ENSSAUG00010008856.1)". Lineage: Eukaryota; Metazoa; Chordata; Actinopteri; Spariformes; Sparidae. The record is from RNAcentral.